This 74-nucleotide transfer RNA is filed under the name Methylibium sp. Pch-M. RNAcentral's name for it is "tRNA-His". It matches the Rfam family "tRNA". Rfam says of the family: Transfer RNA (tRNA) molecules are approximately 80 nucleotides in length. Their secondary structure includes four short double-helical elements and three loops (D, anti-codon, and T loops). Lineage: Bacteria; Pseudomonadati; Pseudomonadota; Betaproteobacteria; Burkholderiales; Sphaerotilaceae. The record is from RNAcentral.
GUGGCCGUAGCUCAAUGGCAGAGCUGCGGGAUGUGACCCCGCCGGUGCCGGUUCGACUCCGGCCGGUCACCCCC